Paramisgurnus dabryanus is the source of this 2792-nucleotide long non-coding RNA. RefSeq lists it as uncharacterized. NCBI's taxonomy places the organism in Eukaryota, Metazoa, Chordata, Actinopteri, Cypriniformes, Cobitidae. The record is from RefSeq and is a predicted model, not a curated record.
GUUAAAAUUCAAACAAUGAUGAACACAUUAUCCCGAAUCUGAGCCUUUUUUGAUGAUGCUUAACUAUGGAUCUGACUGCUGAGUUUGAAAGGAACUGAAGUCAUUGAAAGGUUACAUGCUAUAAUAGGAGAGUAGUUCUUGACUAUUGUCCUUAUUGAACAGGUAUGCUGCUUCCACACACAAUUAAGGGAGGUCAGGCUACUCUGGAAAGGCUUAAGGUGUUUGAUGGAUUCCCUCCUUCUUAUGACAAGGAAUAAGGAAGCGUAUGGUUGUCCCAGCUACUCUCAGGAUUCUGCAUCUGAAGCCUACACGCAAGUUUGCCCUGCUUGGCACAUAAGGUUGGUUGGAAGUACCAAGCCAUCACUGCCACUCUGGAGGAAAAAAGGAAGGAGAAGGCCAAGCUGCGUUACGUAAAGAUAUAAAAUUUACCAAGCAGGCAAAAAAGAACGCUACAAAAUUUUGGUGGCCACAAACCUCAUGCAUAUGAGGGUAUCAACAUCUCUUGUACUAUACUUCUGUGCCCCAUCUUCUGGAAGAAUGUAAGGGGUAUGCCUUCACACAAAGAGAUCAGACUGCUCGUGAAAGGCUAGGUGUUUGAAAUUUCCCUUUUAUGUCAUGAUAAAGCGUAUGGUCAUCCCAGCUCCUCAAGAUUGUGUGUUAAGCGCACUUGCAAGUUUGCUCUGCUUGUAUAUUUGGGACAUGAGGUUGGUUGGAAUACCACGGCAUCACUGCCACUCUUAAGGAAUGGAGGAAGAGAAGGCCACGCUUUAUUACAUCAAGAAGAUUGCAAAUAUACUGGAGGCUUUAUACCGUGUGGUGGUGGUGUUUGUGCUGUCCCUGCAUUCAUUCAAAAUAUUCAGCCAUCACAGAUGUAUCUUCUGGAAGACCGUAAGAGGUAUGCUUUCACACAAAACUGAGUUAAGGCUGCUCUGGAAAGGCUGUAGGUGUUUGAUGGAAUCCCUCCCUUUAUGACAAGUGAAAGCGCAUGAUUGUCCCAGCUGCUCUCAAGAUUAUGUGCCUGAAGCACACUUGCAAGGUAUGCUUUCACACAAAACUGCGUUAAGGCUGCUCUGGAAAGGCUGUAGGUGUUUGAUGGAAUCCCUCCCUUUAUGACAAGUGAAAGCGCAUGAUUGUCCCAGCUGCUCUCAAGAUUAUGUGCCUGAAGCACACUUGCAAGGUAUGCUUUCACACAAAACUGAGUUAAGGCUGCUCUGGAAAGGCUGUAGGUGUUUGAUGGAAUCCCUCACUUUAUGACAAGUGAAAGCAUAUGAUUGUCCUAGCUGCUCUCAAGAUAACGUGCCUGAAGCACACUUGCAAGUUUGCUGACUAUCAGGCCAUCACUGCUACUUUGUAGGAAGAAGGCCAAGCUCUGCAUCAAGAAUGAUUUCUUAUUGAUCAAGCAUGCAGAAAAUGUUGAAUAAAAUCAAAAAAAAUAUUGCUGAUCUUAGACAUGGUUUUCUUUUUUGGCUGUAGCCUGUCACAAUGUUUAUUCAUUUGACCUACUGUAAAUGUUUAACUUAUGAAAUUUUUUAAUGGAUUUUGUCAACCAUUGUCAUGGUUGAAGUCUUGAAUUGUAUUUACAAAAUAAAAUUGUUUAAAUGUGUUCUCUAUGAAAGCUCCCUGUUGCUAAUAUUCAUUUUGUGUGCGGCUAGAAAUGCUGUACCUAAGGAAACCAAACAUAAAAUGUGCCUUCCCCACGAAUUAUAGAGUAUCGUGUAGUUGCUGUGCUAUAGUUCUUGGUAUUUAGAACACUGCACAUUAUAUUGAGGGGAUGUACUAAUGGGUGGGUAAGUAGACUAGAGGAAGGCCUGCGGUCCAAGACUUUGAAACCCCUGACAUGGGUUUAAUAAUCAAACCUGACUGAGGGCAGUGGGCCAAAAAUAAGUGUUGCUAUGUUAUAUUAAAGUUGCUCUGAUUCUCCAAUUUAUAAUUUUCUAAAAUCAUUUUGCCACUCUUUUUUUAUUUCCUUUUUGUCUGUAGGCCAUUGCCUUGACCUCUCCGUUAUUAGCCUGUACCGGAGUUUGAGUUUCGUGAUGCAUGCUAGACACCAACCCUUUUCCUAACAUCUGCGUCAAUGAGGUUCAUCCUUUUAACUUCUCACGUCCCUAGUUUGGGAACAUAUGCCCUAACAAAGGAUCACGAGAACGAUUUGGAAAAUCUACAGAGAAGUCGCGUCACUGCGCCCCCAUUUAAUGCAAAGAGUAUAGAAGCCCAAGAGGCGAAACUCUUUGUUAUGGGUAACAGUCUGUAGAUGGCGCUGCGGAGCCAUGGCCGCCGUUAUGGACUGAAAGCUGCUGAAAUCGUUAGCGCGCCUCACAACUGCAUCCACCACUACCAGCCUAGGUCGUCUAGGAGCACUUCACUUCAAUCAGUUAAAUCAGCCGUUCUUUCAAUCAGUUCAAAUGAUCAGUUCUUCCAAUCAGUUAUUGUUCAUUUUUAGAAAUCUAUACAAAACUUGAACUGGCUUGCUGACUAAUGCUUCCAUUCUAUGUCAGUGCCUCUCCUCUCGCAAAAAGAAAAAAAAUACAACAAAACUUCUCAUACACAAAUGCUCACACAAUAGAUGGUGGUGUCUGAUUAAUUACUGCGAUAUUGUGGCUCCAUUUUAGUACUGUUUAUAGUUAAUGUGUGCACUUGCUAGAUUGCACAUCUUUUUUGUACCUUUCCGCCUGUAAUAGGACAUUCACAGAUUGUUUUUGUUCUUGCCAUUGAAACGUUCACUGUGUGCACUUUCACUGAAGAUGUUGAAAAAACUUGUUAAUAUUUUUGUGAUAUUCUAUGUAAAAGAUUAA